GGAGAGGUGGCAGAGUGGUUGAAUGCGGCGGUCUCGAAAACCGCUAACGGGGCAACUCGUUCGGGGGUUCGAAUCCCCCCCUCUCCG
RNAcentral lists this transfer RNA (87 nucleotides) under Rubidibacter lacunae KORDI 51-2. It matches the Rfam family "tRNA". Rfam says of the family: Transfer RNA (tRNA) molecules are approximately 80 nucleotides in length. Their secondary structure includes four short double-helical elements and three loops (D, anti-codon, and T loops). Further hydrogen bonds mediate the characteristic L-shaped molecular structure. tRNAs have two regions of fundamental functional importance: the anti-codon, which is responsible for specific mRNA codon recognition, and the 3' end, to which the tRNAs corresponding amino acid is attached (by aminoacyl-tRNA synthetases). tRNAs cope with the degeneracy of the genetic code in two manners: having more than one tRNA (with a specific anti-codon) for a particular amino acid; and 'wobble' base-pairing, i.e. permitting non-standard base-pairing at the 3rd anti-codon position. The record is from Rfam by way of RNAcentral. Lineage: Bacteria; Bacillati; Cyanobacteriota; Cyanophyceae; Chroococcales; Aphanothecaceae.